RNAcentral lists this ribosomal RNA (255 nucleotides) under uncultured bacterium. RNAcentral's name for it is "partial 16S ribosomal RNA". It matches the Rfam family "Bacterial small subunit ribosomal RNA", at positions 524 to 777 of the family's 1533-position model. The record is from RNAcentral.
UACAGAGGGGGCAAGCGUUGUUCGGAAUUACUGGGCGUAAAGGGCGCGUAGGCGGCCUGUUAAGUCGAACGUGAAAUCCCCGGGCUCAACCCGGGAACUGCGUCCGAUACUGGCAGGCUUGAAUCCGGGAGAGGGAUGCGGAAUUCCAGGUGUAGCGGUGAAAUGCGUAGAUAUCUGGAGGAACACCGGUGGCGAAGGCGGCAUCCUGGACCGGUAUUGACGCUGAGGCGCGGAAAGCCAGGGGAGCAAACAGGG